UUAAUWRAAACUAGCAUGAACGGUUUAAUUAAUUUAAUUAGUUUGUAAAUUUUAAUAGUAAAUUAAAUAUAAAGUAAUAAUUCUUUAAUACAUUAGGGGACGAUAAGACCCUAAAAGCUUUAUGAAAAGUAUUUAAUUGGUGUUAGUGGUAAUAUUAAUUCACUGGGGCAGUGAAUUUAUUUGUAUUAAAAAAAAAUUAAGGGGUCCUUUAAAUAAAGAUUUUAUGUGUAAGUUACUUUAGGGAUAACAGUGCAAUAUAUUUGGGGAGACCAUAUCUAUAAAUAUGAUUGCAACCUCGAUGUUGAAUUAGAGUUUCUACAUGGGCAGAAUAUGUGUGAGAAAGUUUGUUCAACUUUUGAAUCUCUAUAUGNUMUGAGUUCAAACCGG
RNAcentral lists this ribosomal RNA (387 nucleotides) under Dikerogammarus villosus. RNAcentral's name for it is "partial 16S ribosomal RNA". Lineage: Eukaryota; Metazoa; Arthropoda; Malacostraca; Amphipoda; Gammaridae. The record is from RNAcentral.